RNAcentral lists this microRNA precursor (75 nucleotides) under Haemonchus placei. Its description in RNAcentral is "mir-5928 microRNA precursor family". It matches the Rfam family "mir-5928 microRNA precursor family". Lineage: Eukaryota; Metazoa; Nematoda; Chromadorea; Rhabditida; Trichostrongylidae. The record is from Rfam by way of RNAcentral.
AGCCCAUAUCUAAAGUAGAGUAGAUUAGUAUAGUCAGCUGAUCCUUCUAUUCUGCUGUACUUCAAAAUUGGGCCC